Molecule: long non-coding RNA, 555 nt
Filed under: Ovis aries (sheep)
Lineage: Eukaryota; Metazoa; Chordata; Mammalia; Artiodactyla; Bovidae
Description: lncRNA (ENSOARG00000025722.1)
Source: RNAcentral
GAUACUGAGGAUGAGGGUGAGGGCGGCUGGGGCUCGUCCCAGAGCAGCCCCGAGAAGCAGGGGGUGGCUGCCUGCUCCCUCCCGCCUCGGCUGCCCUUCUGGCCCGCACCCCCACCUCAGGCUGGGGGUCCACGCGAGCUUUGCUUCUAGGGCCUGUAACCUGGUUUCAUCCUGGUUCCACCCUGCUGACUGGCGUGGGGAAAGGCGUGGCCGGCAGAGGGAGCGAGGCAGAAAGGAACCACGCUAGUCCAGCCAGUCGUGUCCAACUCUUCGAGACCCCUCGGACGGCAGCACGCCAGGCCUCCCUGUCCAUCACCAGCUCCUGGAGCUCACCCAGACGUGUGUCCAUCGCGUCGGUGAUGCCAUCCAGCCAUCUCAUCCUCUGUCGCCCCGUCUCCUCCUGCCCCCAGUCCUGCCCGGUGUCAGGGUCUUUGCUGAUGAGCCGGCCCUUCCCAUCAGGGGCCAGAGUGUCGCAGCCUCUGAGGCCUCUCUGGCCCCUGCAGCUGCGUUCCCGCCGGCACUGCCGCUGCUUUCGGGGCCUGUGGUGGUGGGGGU